CAUGCCGCCUAUCCGCGCCCCUCCCACACACUCCUGACCUCCUCCCGGCAUGCCACCGCCCCUGCUCCUCCCUCCUCCAGGAGGACGCGCCGCCGCCCCGUUCUUCCUUCCUCCUGUCGGUGGGUCAGGUCCCUCAACGUCGCGGCGUCGGAGGCGUACGCAAGGCCGGUGCUGAUGCCGGGGUGCAACAAGGCCCCGAUGGCUGCGUGGAAACCUUCUCCCAAGCCGAUGUGGAAGGCGCCAGAGAAGCCUCCGGCCGCUGACCCGGCCAAAGAGGAUGAGUUGCAGGGCGCGAAGAAGGACGCGGGGGCCGCCACUGCUGUUGGCGACGACGGCGCUAGGAAGGGGAACUCGUCCCCAUUGCCUCCGCCGAGGAAGCUGCAAGAUGCGCCGGUGGUGAACCUCAACGCGUCCUGCUCCUCGGAGGCCUCCGUGGAGUCGCUCCGCGGCCAGGCCCCAGGCGGAAGGACCGAGAGGGGUUGGUCCCGGCCGACCGCGCCCAAGCGUGGGAAGGCUGCGUCUAAGGUGGUGGAGAAGCACGCCGAUGUCGCGGAGGUUGCCGCUCCGGUGACGCCGGAGGCCGUCCGAGGGAGGAGCCGGUGCGCCUGGGUGACUCCGACCACCGUUGGAGAUGCUGCUGCUAUUUGUUCAGAUUGGGGGAGGCUAGAGAGGCUUGCUUCAUGUUGUGUUUGCUACGUCAGAGAGCAGUGAGAACUGAGAUUUGGGUGGGGGUGGAGGUAGCAGGGAGAGGAUGUUUACUCGAUGGAAGAGUGCAGGGGCACGCCUCCGAGCUAGCCGAUGCCUACUGUAUCCAGUGUUCUGCUGCAUCCGGUGCCACCUCAAAGAACACCUUCUUCUAGCUGGGCAUUGAACGCCUCAGGGACGACGAGGUGCAGCAACUGGGGUGGAAGCAGUUCAACUACAUGAUGAAGAAUUGAGUGAAGGGGUUAAGACGGUUGCGUUGUGCAUGCACUGCUUGCUUGCCGCAGCCGUAUGCGCACUGCUUGUGCUGGGCGCUGAUCUGGAGGCCCCUGAUCGGAAGGGACGCCACUGGAGUUGCUGCGGGAGAUGGUAGCGAAUACUGAUGUGGACAUUCAAGCUGCAAUAGUGGAGCUGCAUGUGCUGCUAUAGAUUGGUCCUUGCAGCUUAUGAAGGCAUCAACUAUUGGCGGCACAAAAUUGUGGAGCUUAAGAUUCCCCACCCUUAUUUCUGAAGGAAAGCUAAAGUUCGGGGUGCUAAUCUCCGAGGAUUUUCUCAAUGUGAAACGGUGCAAGAUGAGGAACUGGCUCAACUUCAGAGUUUCAGUUAAGUGCACAGUUAAAGAAAAAUUAUAACAACUCGGAUGCAGCUCAGAGGUCAAAUAUCAUGAUGCAGAGUAGGCACUAAACCUAAUGUAUCUACUUGAUUUUGUUGUUGCAGAUUAAAUGGUUAUCUUAUCUGUACACAGCUGAUUAGGCAGUAUAGCAGUACCCGCACGUUUAAUAGUUGUUAAAUAGUUUUUGUGCAUAGUUGAACUGUGUAUUGAGAUGGGAAGCCAAGUUGUUUAAUUUGCGGAUUCCACUUGUCAGACUGGUGGCAUUCCUUAAUUUCUGAUCCCUCGUUAUGAUUUGAUUCUUAUUUAUAUUGUCCUAUGGAAAGAGCAUUAGGAUAGGACAAGCAAACAAGCCUUUCAACAUUCAUGGUGUAUAUUUUGUUUCACCGAGGCGUGUUGCUUAUGAUUUUGAAUUCGAACGGAUCUGCUUCUGUUCACUAAAGAAAUAAAUGCAUGGAUAGAGAAGGUAUGCUCUAAGCUGUUUUCCCUUAGUUUAAAGGAAGGAUUAGUAGUACAUGUAACUGUCUUUUCUUUUCUUGGUAUUCAAACAAGAACAAAUCACUGUUGAUGUUUAGACUCUCUAGAAUCUGGUAAAUUUUAUUCUUCCUCUUAAACUUCUGAUACAAAAUUGGAGUUGUAAAUUAUUUAUUCUGGCACAACCAACUGCUUCUUAUUCUGCCUAGCUUGCUUUUGAUGAAGUAUUCCUGGUGACCUGGUCAAUAGACUGCACUUGCCUAUUCCAAGCACAUACAUGCCUAAGGAUGUCCUGUAAGAAAAGCUUUAACGAAAUCACUUUGGUUUGUAAAUGUCCUUGAGGAUUGAAUUAAUAGAAACUAGCAAUUCUUCUGCCUAAACUGAUUCCUGUAAAUUUUCUUGCCGAACUACUACAUGGUAAUACUCCCUUCAUUCCAUAUUCUAAUGCACAUAGUUUUUUGCCUAGAUUCCGAAAUGUAGUGCGCAUAAGCUGCUUUGGACUAAAGUAGCCCUGGACUGUUCACAGGAACGCAGCAGCAGACACCCACGUGCUGUGACAGAGCGAGCAGCUGGAGGGCAAUUCCUGUCCAAAUGAGAAUGUCAGCUCAGGCAUUGGUAUAAACGCUACACACAAAGGCGCAUUAUAAAGUGGAACAGUGGGAGUACUAAAUUCAUAUGUAAUACUAAAUUCCUACAUGUCAUAAAUUGGGGUUUUCGACAAUAAGUACCUAAGUCUAUGUUAUGUUUAAGUUAAAAAACAAUGUCGAUGUGAGCCAUACAUACACCGAUUAAUAAAGCGGUUAGUACUUAACUUGACCGUCAUGUCCUAUGUGCCUUAGGGGUAAGUUUUCAUCUCCACCAUUGACCCGCUUAAGGUGGCUAUACUGAAGCAGACCCCAUAUAAUUAUGAAUGGUUUAUGAAGUUGAAGGAUGAAACUUGAAUGAACACAAUGUUGAGGUUUGUAAAGUGAAGCCUAAGACAAGUUUGAGAGGGUAAUAUGGACUUCUCUCAAACUAUAUUACCAGAGGACAAUGAGGGCCUUGGAAUACAAUGACAGCGAUGAGUUUCUCCCGGUUCUGUUUUGUUGUAGGUGAAGUUCUUAAUUAUAAUUAUCAAUGUGUUUGUUUUUCCUAAGGAUGCAGUGACAUGCAAGGUGAGGCAAAUUGAAGCCAAAACAGUAGGACGGUCGGAAGUGUGCCAUUUUUUCUAUAUAGGGAAUCUUCAGGGAAUCAAGCGGUAGCACCGGAUGCUGACAUGCAUGGAAGCGCAUGACGAGGUGGGGUCUUACAGCGGGAAAUCGAGAGCGAAGGGGAGAGUCCAAUAGGAAAAGUGAAGGGUGCGUCAUGGGGUGGAGUGGAGUUUUUCUAUUGGGUUGGAAUGACAACUUUGCUUGAUAGCUGCCUGGGAUAGACAGUAACAUCUCAUCAUGCAACAUGCCAGUUGGGGAACUGAGUGCGGUAGCGGAGCUGUGGGAGUGGUGGACAUGCAAUGAGGGAAGGACAAAGAAUAGAGGAUUAGGAAGGACAGAUGGAGGUGUCAGAGCUGAGAGAAAAGAGGGAAAUACCGAAGGGAGCUGGCAUGGAAAGAAAGCGAAGUUGUGCCCCAAGGUUAGAGUGUGAUCGUGCUAUAAAUGUUACCUUUUAUCAAUGCUCGUGUUCAUUCUCGAAGGCUCCACACAAUCAUUGUGAAGGAAGAUGGCAAACUCAUUGAGGACAAUCAUUGUGGUGAUUUCUAAGCUCAAUUUCUGGUGGAGUAGUCUCAUGACAAAUUAAGAGGACAACCCAUGAGUAACUCAUAAAUUUAUAAAAUCACCUUGUUUUUUCAUGCAUAUUCAUGUUACCUACAAACGUUAGAUGUGAUUGAUUUAGGGAAGAAACAAUGGAAGAGAUGGUGGUUUUGCAAUGUAAAAUAUAUGUCUGAAUCAAGUAUUGUUUAUUUAAUCAUCUA
Triticum dicoccoides is the source of this 3734-nucleotide long non-coding RNA. RefSeq lists it as uncharacterized. The transcript is spliced from 9 exons. NCBI's taxonomy places the organism in Eukaryota, Viridiplantae, Streptophyta, Magnoliopsida, Poales, Poaceae. The record is from RefSeq and is a predicted model, not a curated record.